RNAcentral lists this non-coding RNA (23 nucleotides) under Arabidopsis thaliana (thale cress). The record is from RNAcentral. Lineage: Eukaryota; Viridiplantae; Streptophyta; Magnoliopsida; Brassicales; Brassicaceae.
GAUUGACGAUUUAUUGAUGUAUU